Molecule: transfer RNA, 74 nt
Filed under: Camelus bactrianus (Bactrian camel)
Lineage: Eukaryota; Metazoa; Chordata; Mammalia; Artiodactyla; Camelidae
Also listed under: 1 other name
Rfam family: tRNA
About the family: Transfer RNA (tRNA) molecules are approximately 80 nucleotides in length.
Source: Rfam by way of RNAcentral
AGAGUAUAGCUCAUUGGUAGAGUGCAUGCUUAGCAUGCACGAGAUCCUCCUGGGUUCAAUCCCCAGUACCUCUA